GACGAACGCUGGCGGCGUGCUUAACACAUGCAAGUCGAACGGAAAGGCCCUGCUUUUGUGGGGUGCUCGAGUGGCGAACGGGUGAGUAACACGUGAGUAACCUGCCCUUGACUUUGGGAUAACUUCAGGAAACUGGGGCUAAUACCGGAUAGGAGCUCCUGCUGCAUGGUGGGGGUUGGAAAGUUUCGGCGGUUGGGGAUGGACUCGCGGCUUAUCAGCUUGUUGGUGGGGUAGUGGCUUACCAAGGCUUUGACGGGUAGCCGGCCUGAGAGGGUGACCGGCCACAUUGGGACUGAGAUACGGCCCAGACUCCUACGGGAGGCAGCAGUGGGGAAUAUUGCACAAUGGGCGGAAGCCUGAUGCAGCAGCGCCGCGUGCGGGAUGACGGCCUUCGGGUUGUAAACCGCUUUCGCCUGUGACGAAGCGUGAGUGACGGUAAUGGGUAAAGAAGCACCGGCUAACUACGU
RNAcentral lists this ribosomal RNA (467 nucleotides) under uncultured bacterium. RNAcentral's name for it is "partial 16S ribosomal RNA". It matches the Rfam family "Bacterial small subunit ribosomal RNA", at positions 28 to 506 of the family's 1533-position model. The record is from RNAcentral.